RNAcentral lists this non-coding RNA (27 nucleotides) under Mus musculus (house mouse). Lineage: Eukaryota; Metazoa; Chordata; Mammalia; Rodentia; Muridae. The record is from RNAcentral.
UGAUGGAGAAUUGACCGAGUACCAGCA